AGAGUUGAUUCUGGCUCAGAUUGAACGCUGGCGGCAUGCCUUACACAUGCAAGUCGAACGGCAGCACGGGAGCAAUCCUGGUGGCGAGUGGCGAACGGGUGAGUAAUAUAUCGGAACGUGCCCAGUCGUGGGGGAUAACGUAGCGAAAGCUACGCUAAUACCGCAUACGAUCUGUGGAUGAAAGCGGGGGAUCGCAAGACCUCGCGCGAUUGGAGCGGCCGAUAUCAGAUUAGCUAGUUGGUGGGGUAAAGGCCCACCAAGGCGACGAUCUGUAGCUGGUCUGAGAGGACGACCAGCCACACUGGGACUGAGACACGGCCCAGACUCCUACGGGAGGCAGCAGUGGGGAAUUUUGGACAAUGGGCGCAAGCCUGAUCCAGCAAUGCCGCGUGCAGGACGAAGGCCUUCGGGUUGUAAACUGCUUUUGUACGGAACGAAACGGCCCCUUCUAAUACAGGGGGCUAAUGACGGUACCGUAAGAAUAAGCACCGGCUAACUACGUGCCAGCCGCCGCGGUAAUACA
RNAcentral lists this ribosomal RNA (523 nucleotides) under uncultured Curvibacter sp. RNAcentral describes it as "bacterial SSU rRNA". It matches the Rfam family "Bacterial small subunit ribosomal RNA", at positions 8 to 527 of the family's 1533-position model. Lineage: Bacteria; Pseudomonadati; Pseudomonadota; Betaproteobacteria; Burkholderiales; Comamonadaceae. The record is from RNAcentral.